CAGUUAUUCAUGCCGACGGAUAUAUAGUAAGCUUCGUACAGAGCUCCAUCGCGCUAUGGAAAUAUCACGAUCGAUAUCAGGAACAAAUAUGAGCAAACAGAAAAUAAACCAUAAGAAGUCUGCACUGGAUGAGGUUAAAUCGGAUAUAGAAAGGGAGCGUGAAGCUUCCAACAGAUCACAGAGCUGGUUAGCUAAAGGAUUAGUCGUGCAAGUAAUCACAGACAGACUGGGUGAGUCAGUGAAAAACAAAACAGGUCAAGUUGUCCGAGUGGUAAAUGGAGGAUACAGAGGAAUGGAGGCCAGGUUAGAAUCAAUUGAUAAUGAAGAACAUAAAGCUCGUGUAGAGGUUAAAACAGGCCUGUUCAGUGGGCGAAUCUUGAAUAUUCAUCUUAAUGAUAUAUGUGAAUUUAAAGACGUGUCAUAAAAACAGAGAUGUAGGAUUCUGAUGAAGAUCAUCUUGUUAGAAAAAUAUUGAUUCUGUUUGUAGCAAACUUUAACCGAGUGGUAUGUGAUGAAUCUAGAGAGAUGUGUCUUAAAAACAAAGAUCAGAAAUUCUGAUGAAGAUCAUAUUAUUGUCAGCAAACAUUUGGUCCUAACCAGUCCCUUUACUUCGUUUUCUACAGUCGGGGAAAUACUAAACCAGAACAUUUAUAGAGAUCAGAAAUUUAUAAUUUUAAACUUAUACUGGAAAUUAGACGAUUUUAAUAUUAAUAUUCCACAAUCUGAAUGUGUGUACCUAGUGGCGUGGGUAGGAUUAGAAUCAGAUUCUGUCAGUCCACUUAUUUUUGAAAAGAUUGUUGAAUUUGAAACUAUAAACCACCUCCCCGGGCCUUCACGCCUGUUUAAGGCUCUCGUCAAUAUCAGGGUAUCCGGACCCCGGCAGGUAAUCGGGGCUUAGUACAGGCCCGUAGAACGCUACAAUGAUGGUAUUGGUAAGCGAACUAGUGUCACGCUCUGCCGCCAGUGAUCAUGCAUGCGAUUAUCGAUCGCUUAUGUAAGCUGACUGGUAUCCGAUUAUUAAAAACGAAACUGAAAGAGAAACUAAUGUAUUACUUUCAUCUUCGUUUUGUCAGGUGCUAAAAAGCUUGAUGUUUUAAACAUGUAAAUGUAUUUGGUAUGUCAUAUGAUAUGUUGUUGUGUUAAAUGUGAGUUACUAUAGGUAUACGCCAAAAUGAUGCUAGAGACCUUGUAUCUUCAAACAAUUCGAGCCCCCCUCCCUCCUUGCCGAGUUGUUUAUUAUCUUGUGUUUAGUACUCGAUUGAAAUGAUUAUAUAUAGGCGUAAACACAGUGUAUAAAUAUAAAAUCAUGACCUGAAACACAGUGUAUAAAUUUAAAGUCAAUCGGAUAUCUUGAAAAUCAUUCUUCGUCUCAUGACCUUAAACACUGUGUAUAAAUUUAGAGUCAAGGGCCUAUUCUGCCAGUAAUUAUCUGAAAUCGUUAAAAUCAAUAGGCUUCUUCAUCUCAUGAGCUUAAACACUGUGUAUAAAUUUAAAGUCAAUCAGAGAUUAACUUUAGCCUUGAGAGCAUCCAUGAGAUUUUUCAAAGUGAACAAGGGCCAUAACUCUGGUAGUAAUUAUCAAUCGAUAGGCUUUUUCGGCUCAUGGCCUUUAACACUGUGUAUAAAUUUAAAGUCAAUCGGAUAUUAACUUUAGCCUCUAGAGUGUCCUCGAGCAAUGAAAAUAUACAUUUCAAUGUUGGCGUAUCAAAAGUAUUUAUCUUCAGCAGAUAAAUAUAUGAAAGAAAGGACUCAAUGUUCAAUUCCAUGCAUAACUUGAGAAAUUGAAUGGAGUUAAAUGUCUUAUCAACGGAAUACUUCAUCCGUGUUCGGAUGGGGCAAAAAUCCGAAGUCCCAUGUAUAUACGUAAAAGAUCCCUCGGCAGUUGGAAUUCGAUAUAAGAGUAGGCCAAAGUGCCACUGCCCGGGCAAAAUUUCCCUCGUAGCACAUAGAGAGAGAGAUAGAGAAAUGGGGUUUAUCGUCCACUCGACACAAACUAGGUUAUUUUGGGACUAACAUAUGGUUCAUUUUUAUUUCCAUAAUUCGCUUGCGCGUACGGUUCUUUAGUAGUUUUAGGAAUAUGAGGCCCCGGAGAAAACCCACGAGGUUGGAUAGGCGACCCUACUCCUUGUCACGUACAACCGGGGAAUCGAAACCCCGCCAGUUGACUCAAUGACAGACUAUAUGAUACAGCGCGCACGUGCUAACCAUUCAGCCAUCCAUCCCAGUCGGAGCAAAACAGUAAGACGUUAAACCUCCUUCCAUUUUCUGUCAAUGGCAGACCUUUCCACUGUGAUCCAGACACCAACCCUAAAGGCCAGGCUUGAUA
Molecule: long non-coding RNA, 2325 nt
Organism: Patella vulgata (common limpet)
Lineage: Eukaryota; Metazoa; Mollusca; Gastropoda; Patellidae
Exons: 3
Source: RefSeq, a predicted model, not a curated record